Molecule: long non-coding RNA, 336 nt
Organism: Chinchilla lanigera (long-tailed chinchilla)
Lineage: Eukaryota; Metazoa; Chordata; Mammalia; Rodentia; Chinchillidae
Exons: 2
Source: RefSeq, a predicted model, not a curated record
GUGCAGUUCUAGAGCUGGCAGCAGCUCAGUCCUGGAGGAGGCGAAGGACCUGAAGCCGCCAUUGAUUCUGUCUGAGAAUCUGUGUGACUGGAACAUGUGCUACAGAAGACACAAGCUGCAAAAAAAAAAAAAGAAGACACAAGCUGCUUACCUCCUGUGUCAGGGCUUGUCAACAGAUCUCAUGUAUCUGGCAGUUUUUUUCUAAGACAUGCAUGGCACAUUUGGGUGUCAUUCAUUAACUUGCCCAAUAGACAGGAGUGUCUGUCUUAGGAUAAAUUUAUACUUGCAUAUGUUAUUAUUAAAUAGUAUUAUAAUAAAGGAUGGUGUUUAUAUCAA